This 500-nucleotide ribosomal RNA is filed under the name uncultured bacterium. RNAcentral describes it as "partial 16S ribosomal RNA". It matches the Rfam family "Bacterial small subunit ribosomal RNA", at positions 30 to 523 of the family's 1533-position model. The record is from RNAcentral.
AUUGAACGCUGGCGGAAUGCUUUACACAUGCAAGUCGAACGGCAGCACGGACUUCGGUCUGGUGGCGAGUGGCGAACGGGUGAGUAAUAUAUCGGAACGUGCCCAGUCGUGGGGGAUAACGUAGUGAAAAUUACGCUAAUACCGCAUACGAUCUACGGAUGAAAGCGGGGGAUCGCAAGACCUCGCGCGAUUGGAGCGGCCGAUAUCAGAUUAGGUAGUUGGUGAGGUAAAGGCUCACCAAGCCAACGAUCUGUAGCUGGUCUGAGAGGACGACCAGCCACACUGGGACUGAGACACGGCCCAGACUCCUACGGGAGGCAGCAGUGGGGAAUUUUGGACAAUGGACGCAAGUCUGAUCCAGCCAUUCCGCGUGCAGGACGAAGGCCUUCGGGUUGUAAACUGCUUUUGUACAGAACGAAAAGGUUUCUAUUAAUACUAGGGGCUCAUGACGGUACUGUAAGAAUAAGCACCGGCUAACUACGUGACAGCCGCCGCCGUAA